Molecule: ribosomal RNA, 571 nt
Filed under: uncultured Acidobacteriota bacterium
Lineage: Bacteria; Pseudomonadati; Acidobacteriota
Description: bacterial SSU rRNA
Rfam family: Bacterial small subunit ribosomal RNA
Source: RNAcentral
UGAGGAAUUUUGCGCAAUGGGCGAAAGCCUGACGCAGCGACGCCGCGUGGAGGAAGAAGGCCUUCGGGUCGUAAACUCCUGUCAAGAGGAACGAAUCCCUACGGAAUGAAUAAGUCUGUAGGUUGACGGUACCUCUGAAGGAAGCCCCGGCUAACUCCGUGCCAGCAGCCGCGGUAAUACGGAGGGGGCAAGCGUUGUUCGGAAUUAUUGGGCGUAAAGGGCACGUAGGCGGUCAAGCAAGUUGGUGGUGAAAGCCCUCGGCUCAACCGGGGAAUUGCCCCCAAAACUGCUCGACUUGAGUCCCGGAGAGGGUGGCGGAAUUCCCAGUGUAGUGGUGAAAUGCGUAGAUAUCGGGAGGAACACCAGAGGCGAAGGCGGCUUCCUGGACAGACACUGACGCUGAGGCGCGAAAGCUAGGGGAGCAAACGGGAUUAGAUACCCCGGUAGUCCUAGCUGUAAACGUUGUGCACUAGGUGUGGGAGGUAUCGACCCCUCCCGUGCCGGAGCUAACGCAUUAAGUGCACCGCCUGGGGAGUACGGUCGCAAGACUGAAACUCAAAGGAAUUGACGG